CUACGGGGUGCUGCAGUGAGGAAUAUUGCACAAUGGGGGGAACCCUGAUGCAGCAACGCCGCGUGGAGGAUGACGCAUUUCGGUGUGUAAACUCCUUUUAUAUGUCAAGAAAAUGACGGUAGCAUAUGAAUAAGCACCGGCUAACUCCGUGCCAGCAGCCGCGGUAAUACGGAGGGUGCAAGCGUUACUCGGAAUCACUGGGCGUAAAGGACGCGUAGGCGGGUUGGAAAGUCAGGUGUGAAAACCUACAGCUUAACUGUAGAACUGCACUUGAAACUUCUAAUCUAGAGUAUGGGAGGGGGAGAUGGAAUUAGUGGUGUAGGGGUAAAAUCCGUAGAUAUCACUAGGAAUACCUAAAGCGAAGGCGAUCUCCUGGAACAUUACUGACGUUAAGGCGUGAAAGCGUGGGGAGCAAACAGGAUUAGAUACCCUCGUAGUC
This 439-nucleotide ribosomal RNA is filed under the name uncultured bacterium. RNAcentral's name for it is "partial 16S ribosomal RNA". It matches the Rfam family "Bacterial small subunit ribosomal RNA", at positions 339 to 795 of the family's 1533-position model. The record is from RNAcentral.